UACGUAGGGGGCAAGCGUUGUCCGGAAUUACUGGGCGUAAAGGGCUCGUAGGCGGCCAACUAAGUCGGAUGUGAAAUCCCCAGGCUCAACCUGGGAACUGCAUCCGAUACUGGAUGGCUUGAAUUCGGGAGAGGGAUGCAGAAUUCCAGGUGUAGCGGUGAAAUGCGUAGAUAUCUGGAGGAAUACCGGUGGCGAAGGCGGCAUCCUGGACCGACAUUGACGCUGAGGAGCGAAAGCCAGGGGAGCAAACGGG
RNAcentral lists this ribosomal RNA (253 nucleotides) under uncultured bacterium. RNAcentral's name for it is "partial 16S ribosomal RNA". It matches the Rfam family "Bacterial small subunit ribosomal RNA", at positions 524 to 776 of the family's 1533-position model. The record is from RNAcentral.